This 253-nucleotide ribosomal RNA is filed under the name uncultured bacterium. Its description in RNAcentral is "partial 16S ribosomal RNA". It matches the Rfam family "Bacterial small subunit ribosomal RNA", at positions 524 to 776 of the family's 1533-position model. The record is from RNAcentral.
UACGAAGGGGGCUAGCGUUGUUCGGAUUUACUGGGCGUAAAGCGCACGUAGGCGGAUCUUUAAGUCAGGGGUGAAAUGCCGCGGCUCAACCGCGGAACUGCCUUUGAUACUGGGGAUCUGGAGUCCGGGAGAGGUGAGCGGAACUGCGAGUGUAGAGGUGAAAUUCGUAGAUAUUCGCAAGAACACCAGUGGCGAAGGCGGCUCACUGGCCCGGUACUGACGCUGAGGUGCGAAAGCGUGGGGAGCGAACAGG